UAAUACAGAGGGUGCAAGCGUUAAUCGGAAUUACUGGGCGUAAAGCGUGCGUAGUCGGUUAUCUAAGUCGGAUGUGAAAUCCCCGGGCUCAACCUGGGAAUUGCAUUCGAUACUGGAUAGCUAGAGUUCGGCAGAGGGAAGCGGAAUUUCGGGUGUAGCGGUGAAAUGCGUAGAUAUCCGAAGGAACAUCAGUGGCGAAAGCGGCUUCCUGGACCAGAACUGACGAUCAGGCACGAAAGCGUGGGGAGCAAACAGG
Molecule: ribosomal RNA, 256 nt
Filed under: uncultured bacterium
Lineage: Bacteria
Description: partial 16S ribosomal RNA
Rfam family: Bacterial small subunit ribosomal RNA
Source: RNAcentral